UGGAAACGGACAGUAACUGCACCAAGAGGACGCCAGUCAGCGGAUUUUUCAACAUUUAUGUCCAACUUUGCUGACUGAUCAGCGGUGGUUUGUGAGCGUGGAGGGCCAGGUUGUCAGUGAGGGGGGGUCCUUUGUGCUGGGGUUUGCUGUUCUACUGUCAACUUACUACAACUUUAACCUGCAGUACCAGGACCAGGCUGCAUGCUCGUUGGAGUUCAUUCAGAGGAUCUGCAUGGGGAUUAAUCCUGAGAGAGGAUCAAAGGCACACAGUGGACCAACCCCCAGCAGAAAAACUGGAAAGAUGGUCCAGAAGAAACCUUCUACAGUGAACCCGCAUGUCUGCACCCUGAUAAGGAAGCUCAAUGACUUCAAGUGGGACUUUGUUUGAGUUUCUUUUGUAUUGUUUUGUUUAGCUGCAGUUAUUAUUUAUUGAUAAUCAUUUAACAAUAUCUGCAGAUAAAAGGCCAAUACUGCUAGUUUUUGUGUUUAGUUAAGUUCUUGCGGCUGUACUGUUUGGCCCCAUUCAAGUGCAUUGACGUUUGAUAAAUUGUUGAUAUAAUGAUUACUGCAUGAUUGAGCCAAGCAGUUAAAA
Etheostoma spectabile (orangethroat darter) is the source of this 592-nucleotide long non-coding RNA. RefSeq lists it as uncharacterized. The transcript is spliced from 3 exons. The record is from RefSeq and is a predicted model, not a curated record. Lineage: Eukaryota; Metazoa; Chordata; Actinopteri; Perciformes; Percidae.